AGGACUCAAUGCAGCAUGAACCCUGGGUUAGGGGAUGAGCAGGCUGGGGGCACGGCCCUCGCCAAGCUGCGGGAGCAGCCCAGACCCAGCAGAGAAGUCCUGACCAGCAUAGGGGUGAACGCGAGGCAACACAGCAGAGAAUGGGAUUUAUUCCUCUAACCUCAUGUGGCACCUAAGCACCAGUGACCACAGGAAAGGGCCGAAGGUCCCUAUUUGAGGACUACGAGCCUGGGGAAGAGGGGUACUUGGUCUGUACGGGACACUUUCAAAAUGAGUGGAGGAAAAUUAUCAAACAGUAAACUUGAAGGGAAAAGCUCUGAGAAGCAUGACGUUGAGCUGUCAACGGUAGAGAUGCUACAACAAGUGAAUUCUGUUAUGAGCACAAUGUGUGAACUGCACACCUUAUGCAAAGCUGCCCUUUGUCCAACUUUGAGGAGGAUGACUGAAUACAAAUUUUCAUUCCUGACCUUUGUGUGUGUUGCUGAUUGACCUGUAUAACGCAAUGCCUUCGACAAGCCAAGGGAUGACUGAAUAUCUGCAAGCAUGCAAAAAACCUGGCAAGCAAACAUCAGUAAUCAUAGCAGUAAUACAGGGUGUGCAAAUGGCUUAUCAAAUGGGUAAUGCUUUUAGACAUAGUAUCAGGGCUCUGAUGGGAUUUCCAAUACGCCAUGAAUUUCAAAUUCCAGUUCUGCAGUCUGUCUAUACUGUGUUUUGGUUUUCAGACUACAAGUGUAUUUGUCAUCUGCACACAGAAUAACUCCCUUCGCUGUAAAUUGCCAUUAAACAAGAUCAUGGCGCUAAAUUUUUUGGAAUCUAUUCUACCACUCUGUACUAUUCCAAGUGUAUCACAGAAAUGGUUGCAUAUACGUGUUAUAUAACUUGGCAUAUGACCUAGUGGUCUAAGCAUCAAGCUGUGUUUAAAAAAAAUAGAUUGCUUGCUGAUUUGAACCACAGACUGUCCUUCACUCUUCCAUGGUAGAUAGAUUGUUAUUGUGGCUGGGAGGGCUGUAUUGGACAAGCCCUUAGAAUUUAUACAAAAACAACUGCUGUACGCCCAACUUACCAAAGGAGAAAGGAAACGGGGAGGCCAAAAGAAAUGCUUUAAAGACAGCUUCAAGAUAAACAUCAAGAGAUGUGGCAUUGACACCACACACUGGGAGACUGCAGCCCAGGCUAGGGAUAACUGGUGAAGACUUGUCAGAGAGGGAACGUCCAGGGCAAGGUGAGGAAAAUCACCUUGCCCUGGUCACAGAAAAAUGCCAGAAAAGAAAGGAAAGACAACUGUCACUCAGCAAUCGCGGCCCAACCCUGUCUUCCAACACCAUCUGCAACGUCCGCCAACGAGCCUGUGGCUUCAGGAUCAGACUCCUCAGUCACCAAAGGACCCAUGAAAAAUAAAACCUGUGAAAAAGAUCAUCCCUGACCUCAAGAGAUCGACAACGAGAAUUUAUACAAGGGUCUGUGCAGAGGUCAACUCCUCUCUUGAAGUGAGUUAAGGCAAAAGCUAUCUGUACAAAUGAAAAAUAUUUUUUACAUGCACACAGUAUUACCCUCUGUUAUUACAGGUAUGCUCCAACUUCAAUAUGUAAAUGUCCUGUGCUCUGAAGUAGUUGAAGUCACAUCUGGCAAGCCUUAGUUGGUAACAUAAUAGACACAAGGAUUUAAGUUUGCAUGGAAGGCUAUGUAAUGGAAGAAUAUCUGUCCCCUCAUCAGAACUGUUCCAAUUAAUUCUACAUGUCAUUUAAACUCUCUGAAGGUCAUUACAGGGAAUUCUUAUCCCACAGAGCCUGACAACUUUUUAAAAUCCAUUUACUCAGUUACCAAUUGGAUAAGAAGCUUAAUGGUACAUAUGCUAGGCAAUAUGAGCUGAACUCAGCCAUGCUGGGAUAACUUUGGGUGGGUGUCGCUGAAUACAUGUCUAAAAUGAUGAAUACAGAGAUACACAUGUAAGCCAAU
This is a non-coding RNA of Caretta caretta (loggerhead turtle), 1956 nucleotides long. NCBI's taxonomy places the organism in Eukaryota, Metazoa, Chordata, Testudines, Cheloniidae. The record is from RefSeq and is a predicted model, not a curated record.